RNAcentral lists this small RNA (471 nucleotides) under Arabidopsis thaliana (thale cress). RNAcentral's name for it is "ATSL146060". Lineage: Eukaryota; Viridiplantae; Streptophyta; Magnoliopsida; Brassicales; Brassicaceae. The record is from RNAcentral.
UCAUGGGAAUAUGCAGAUGCAUGAUUUCAAGCCUACCGAUCAAACGAAGACUGAGACGAAAGGAACAUCUAACAAAAAACCUGGGAGUUCCGGGGAGAAACAUAGGAAGGGAAGACGUAAAACAUCAACAGGAAACAACUCACCUACAGAAUCUCCAUCAAGGGUAGGAGGAUCAGUAAGGCCAUCAAAACGCAACACGGGGAAACAAAGAGAGCAGAACACGGGUUCAGGGUCAGAGUCAGGUUCAGGAUUAGAGUUACCUCAACAGACUGAUCAGUUUGUUGUACCAAAACAAUCAAAGCAAAAAAAGUCAAAAGGAUCAGCAACAGGAGGAGGCGAACCUCCUCCAUCUAAUGAACCAUCAAACAAGAAAGAAACAGAUAUAUCUGUGAGAGCGGUUUACCCUUGUGCGGGUCUUGGAAGUUCUACAGGAAGAUGAAAGAUGAGGAACAAAGAAAGAGAGUGUUAUAU